CCCAAGGGUCUGCGGGCCGCGGGGACUUGCUGGCGGGCCUGGAGGCGGGGGGGACAGGCUGACGCGUCGCCUCUGGGAGAACCGGGAGACCCGCGGCGAGCAGAGUUGAGGACCGGCCAGCGGGGCGUCCCGGGCUAGACCUGGGAGAUGUCCGAGUGACUGGGGGAGCCCCGGCCGUGCAAGCUUGAGAUACAGAUUGAACUUCAGACAAGGCCGGACUACCGUGUAAACCAGAGACAACUUUUCAUUUGAAUGAACAGAAUCACAGACUACAAUGAAAGGGGGAAAAAAAUGUAUCUUGACUGUGACAGUCCAUAGAAGCUGUCUUACCACUGUUGGAAUAUCAUAGAGACAAUCUCCUGUGCUGCCUCCCACUGGCUGAACCCGAGAGGAAGCCUAAGGGCAAGUGAGCCCUGAUGACGUUGUCCUUCAAGGCCAGCCUCCGGAAAAUGAUGGAGGGUAGAUCUGGAAGGACAAAGGCACAAUAUCUAGCAGUGAGCAUUGUGAUAGGGGAAGUAUGAGGAUCUGAGUGGCCGCCUGGGAGAAUAAUGGACUCCAUCUCCGGAGAUAAGGGAAGGCUUCAGGGGUGGAGGAAAGAAGGAAGAUUGAAGGAACAACAGAUCAUUUGCUCUGAUGGAAGCCAGCUGCCAUGUUGCAGCUGCCCUAAAGAGAGGUCCCCCAUGGCAAGAAGCUGAGGGAGAUCUCGAGUCAACAGCCAGCUGGGAACUGGGGCUUCAAUCCAAUAACCCAAGAACAAUUGAGACCUACCAACAGCCACAGGAUGGAGCUUGGCAGCAGAACGUUCUUCAGUUAAGCCUUCAGAAGAGACUGCAGUCCCUCUGGACGGUUUGACUAUAACUUCAUGAGAGACUUUGAGUCCAAACCACCCAACCAUGAUGGCCCCAAAUUUCUGACCCAUAGAAAUUGUGAGAUAUUUGUUGUAA
This is a long non-coding RNA of Lynx canadensis (Canada lynx), 944 nucleotides long. RefSeq lists it as uncharacterized. NCBI's taxonomy places the organism in Eukaryota, Metazoa, Chordata, Mammalia, Carnivora, Felidae. The transcript has 5 exons. The record is from RefSeq and is a predicted model, not a curated record.